GAAUACCCACGGGAGUGGGGUCCGCGCUCGCCCCUCGGCGGACGACCUUGAGAGUAGGUUUCGGAGGCGGAAUCUUCACAUCACCGCCCGUAACCAGGCGAGGAUCCUUCUUCUGAGCAGGAGGGAUAUACUUCGUCUUACGGGGGCCGGGGAAUGACAUGGCACCUGCAGUGGACGAGAGUAAAAUCAGCCAGGACGAAACAUAAACAUAACGAUACAAAACAAUAAAAUCGUACCAAACGCCACGUUAAUAAAAUCCUCGUGGCAUAGGCAUUCAACCAGCUUGCGGGCGGGGAGGCGACGGGGGAGAUCGUUAAUAAGCCUUACGGCUUCACGCUCAGACGAAGUCAGAUCACACGCCGGCACCGACUUUAUUUGGGCCGGCUCCUCAGUCCAGUAAAAAGGGAAUAGGGGUUCACCGGACGGAUCCACAAAUUCCUUCCGACUGCCCUCUUUUAUUAUUAUUUUGAAGAACUUGUGUUUAAAGUCCUUGAAAGAAUCCGCGUAGUUUUGAAACAAACCCUGUUGGAUGGACCUCAACGAUACCUAACCCCGCGCCGU
Molecule: long non-coding RNA, 561 nt
Filed under: Vigna radiata
Lineage: Eukaryota; Viridiplantae; Streptophyta; Magnoliopsida; Fabales; Fabaceae
Description: long non-coding RNA (VRAD_LNC004721)
Source: RNAcentral